RNAcentral lists this small RNA (847 nucleotides) under Pongo abelii (Sumatran orangutan). Its description in RNAcentral is "processed transcript". Lineage: Eukaryota; Metazoa; Chordata; Mammalia; Primates; Hominidae. The record is from RNAcentral.
UCAGCGCAAGGCACGGAGCCCCCGGAGCCCCCAAACCGCAGCCACAUCCCCGCGCCCCAGAUCCCCGGCCUGCGCGCCCAGCCGGGCCCGCGCGAUGCCCUCAGACCGGCCUUUCAAGCAGCGGCGGAGCUUCGGUGAUCAUCGAGCGCUACAAGGGUGAGAAGCAGCUGCCCGUCCUGGACAAGACCAAGUUUUUGGUCCCGGACCAUGUCAACAUGAGCGAGUUGGUCAAGAUCAUCCGGCGCCGCCUGCAGCUGAACCCCACGCAGGCCUUCUUCCUGCUGGUGAACCAGCACAGCAUGGUGAGUGUGUCCACGCCCAUCGCGGACAUCUACGAGCAGGAGAAAGACGAGGAUGGCUUCCUCUACAUGGUCUACGCCUCCCAGGAAACCUUCGGCUUCUGAGCCAGCAGUAGGGGGGUCGGCCUGGGAGUCGGGGGGCCCCGGUCAGGCCCUGCCCAGAGAGCUCCUGCUUCCUGAACUGAGCUGCCUCUGCCGUGGUGGGCUGGGCAGGCAUGUGCCCCCCUAGUCAGAGGGCACCAACCCACCUACUCUGCCCCUGGGUGGAUCCUGGGCCGGUCAUGUUAGGGUUGUCCCUCUGGGUGCUGGCUGGGAUGGGGGAGGGUGGGGAGCAGCUCCCAGCACCCCUGCUGUGUGGUUCAUCUUUUUUUUAGGCCCCUGCCUGUCUGCCCAUCUGUCCCUCACCCACCCGAGGCUCUGCCCACCGCCUGGACCUGCCCACCCCUGAAAGACUGGCCCCUGGCUCCCCGCCCCUCGGUCUCCACGUGGUGUAUGGAUCUGUGGUCAUUGUCCCUCUGCAGAAUAAAGAUUGCUCAGGCCUGCCUGGC